UACGUAGGGUGCGAGCGUUGUCCGGAAUUAUUGGGCGUAAAGAGCUUGUAGGCGGUUUGUCGCGUCUGCCCGUGAAAAUCCGGGGCUCAACCCCGGACUUGCGGUGGGUACGGGCAGACUAGAGUGUGGUAGGGGAGACUGGAAUUCCUGGUGUAGCGGUGAAAUGCGCAGAUAUCAGGAGGAACACCGGUGGCGAAGGCGGGUCUCUGGGCCGUAACUGACGCUGAGGAGCGAAAGCGUGGGGAGCGAACAGG
This 254-nucleotide ribosomal RNA is filed under the name uncultured bacterium. RNAcentral's name for it is "partial 16S ribosomal RNA". It matches the Rfam family "Bacterial small subunit ribosomal RNA", at positions 524 to 776 of the family's 1533-position model. The record is from RNAcentral.